This 302-nucleotide long non-coding RNA is filed under the name Pomacea canaliculata. RNAcentral's name for it is "uncharacterized LOC112556949". The record is from RNAcentral. Lineage: Eukaryota; Metazoa; Mollusca; Gastropoda; Architaenioglossa; Ampullariidae.
CUGGCCAGUAGAAGGAAAGGACAGCAUCUCUUGACAGUGACCAAGAAUGAAUGAGAGCCUUGGCGUUCCUGGCCAGUAGAAGGAAAGGACAGCAACUCUUGACAGUGACCAAGAAUGAAUGAGAGGUGGGAUGUAUUUCCUUUCUUUAUCUUUUGUAUUUUUGCUUUCUUUUGUGUUGUCCAUCUAGUUCUGAUUGUAUGUUUAAUGACCUGUAUCUAUUUUGGGGGCUAUUUUUCAGAAUCUUUCUUAAAUUGAUUUUCUACAAGGACUGAGAAGACCCAAGCGUAUAUCAUUAAAGGAAG